AAUUCAUACAUUGGAUCUUUUCGAAGUUAUUCUUUAAAUCGUUCCCAAGCUUCAUAUAGUGUUUCAUCCUUCGAUUGUAGAAAAGAUGUGAUGUCAUUUCUAAGCUU
Molecule: small nucleolar RNA, 107 nt
Filed under: Gossypium hirsutum (cotton)
Lineage: Eukaryota; Viridiplantae; Streptophyta; Magnoliopsida; Malvales; Malvaceae
Description: Plant small nucleolar RNA R71
Rfam family: Plant small nucleolar RNA R71
About the family: R71 is a member of the C/D box family of snoRNAs containing the C (UGAUGA) and D (CUGA) box motifs. Multiple nearly identical copies of this snoRNA have been identified in Arabidopsis, and it is thought to function as a 2'-O-ribose methylation guide for 18S ribosomal RNA.
Source: Rfam by way of RNAcentral